UGAGCGGCAAAAGCUCAAAUUUGAAAUCUAGCACUUUCAGUGUUCGAGUUGUAAUUUGAAGAAAGUCUCCUUGAAUAGUCCUUUAUCUAUGUUCCUUGGAACAGGACGUCAUAGAGGGUGAGAACCCCGUAUGAUUUUGGAUCCUAUUCUCUGUGGGAGUCUUUCGAAGA
This 170-nucleotide ribosomal RNA is filed under the name uncultured Saccharomycopsis. RNAcentral's name for it is "partial 26S ribosomal RNA". It matches the Rfam family "Eukaryotic large subunit ribosomal RNA", at positions 95 to 263 of the family's 3401-position model. The record is from RNAcentral. Lineage: Eukaryota; Fungi; Ascomycota; Saccharomycetes; Ascoideales; Saccharomycopsidaceae.